RNAcentral lists this ribosomal RNA (492 nucleotides) under uncultured bacterium. Its description in RNAcentral is "partial 16S ribosomal RNA". It matches the Rfam family "Bacterial small subunit ribosomal RNA", at positions 29 to 507 of the family's 1533-position model. The record is from RNAcentral.
AGUGAACGCUGGCGGUAGGCCUAACACAUGCAAGUCGAACGGCAGCACAGUAAGAGCUUGCUCUUACGGGUGGCGAGUGGCGGACGGGUGAGGAAUACAUCGGAAUCUACUUUUUCGUGGGGGAUAACGUAGGGAAACUUACGCUAAUACCGCAUACGACCUACGGGUGAAAGCAGGGGAUCUUCGGACCUUGCGCGAUUGAAUGAGCCGAUGUCGGAUUAGCUAGUUGGCGGGGUAAAGGCCCACCAAGGCGACGAUCCGUAGCUGGUCUGAGAGGAUGAUCAGCCACACUGGAACUGAGACACGGUCCAGACUCCUACGGGAGGCAGCAGUGGGGAAUAUUGGACAAUGGGGGCAAGCCUGGUCCAGCCAUACCGCGUGGGUGAAGAAGGCCUUCGGGUUGUAAAGCCCUUUUGUUGGGAAAGAAAAGCAGCAGGUUAAUACCCCGCUGUUCUGACGGUACCCAAAGAAUAAGCACCGGCUAACUUCGUG